UUGUUGGUAUCUGGCAUCUGACAAGAGGCGAUGAUAUCUGCCAUAACGGCGAAGCAGAAGUACUUUCCGGACCGUUACAAUCGCCAGUUUAAA
This 93-nucleotide small RNA is filed under the name Salmonella bongori. RNAcentral's name for it is "isrI Hfq binding RNA". It matches the Rfam family "isrI Hfq binding RNA". Lineage: Bacteria; Pseudomonadati; Pseudomonadota; Gammaproteobacteria; Enterobacterales; Enterobacteriaceae. The record is from RNAcentral.